This 1044-nucleotide ribosomal RNA is filed under the name Triticum aestivum (bread wheat). RNAcentral's name for it is "partial small subunit ribosomal RNA". Lineage: Eukaryota; Viridiplantae; Streptophyta; Magnoliopsida; Poales; Poaceae. The record is from RNAcentral.
AUGUGGGUGCAGGAGUGGAAGCCGGUGAUGGGAAUGCUGGCCUUCGACCUCAUCUCUGCUGUGAUGACGGCGCUGGUGAAGAAGGCUCUGGAGCAAGGUCUGAACCGCCUGGUCCUCGUUACCCUCCGGCAGCUGGUCGCAACCAUCUUCCUUGCCCCGAUAGCCUUUUUCAAAGAACGGAGCACGAGGCCCAAGCUCACAUUGGAGAUCCUGGCGUACCUCUUCUUCAGCGCCGUGUUUGGCGCGGCGCUCUCGCAGUACACCUUCUUCUACGGCCUGCAGUACACCACCGCCACCUUCGCCAUAACCUUCAUCAACCUCUCCCCUGUGCUCACCUUCCUCAUCGCCGUCGUGAUGAGGAUGGAACCGCUGAAGUUGAAGAGCAUGGCGGGAGCCGCAAAGAUCACCGGAACACUCACGUCGCUGGCCGGCUUGCUGCUGCUGAGUCUCUACAAGGGAGUGCCGCUGACGCACCAGGCCGCCGCUGCACCUAGCCCAGCUGCUUCUCACCAUGCAGCACCCUCUGACAGCAGUGGCAACAGGAGCUGGAUGCUGGGAACCAUGGCGUUGCUGUUCAACUGCCUGUGCUUCUCCUUCUGGCUGCUGCUGCAGACAAAGCUGACCAAGAAGUACCCAGCCAUCUAUUCAAGCACCGCCAUCAUGUUCUUCAUCAGCACGCUGCAGGGCGGGGCGGUGACGUUGGCGAUGGAGAGACACGUGUCGUCGUGGAUGCUGACCAGCAAGCUGGAGAUCGUUACCGUCUUGUAUGCAGGGAUAGUCGGAUCUGGAGCCGGGUACCUGAUAAUGACGUGGUGCGUCGAGAAGAAGGGCCCGGUCUUCACCGCAGCCUUCAUCCCCAUGAUGCAGAUCAUGGUAGCCAUCAUCGAUUUCUUCUUCCUCCAUGAACAAAUCUACCUUGGAAGCGUGCUAGGAUCUGUACUGAUGAUACUGGGGCUCUAUCUUGUGCUGUGGGGAAAGAAGAGGGAUGAAGCAGCUACUACCACUAACAAGCAAGUCGGCGAACAAGCUGACGACAAGCCGUGA